CCCUUAGUAACUGCGAGUGAAGCGGGAAAAGCUCAAAUUUGAAAUCUGGCGGUUCCGCCGUCCGAGUUGUAAUUUAGAGAAGUGUUACCCGCGCUGGACCGUGUACAAGUCUCCUGGAAUGGAGCGUCAUAGAGGGUGAGAAUCCCGUCUUUGACACGGACUGCCAGGGCAUUGUGGUACGCUCUCAAAGAGUCGAGUUGUUUGGGAAUGCAGCUCAAAAUGGGUGGUAAAUUCCAUCUAAAGCUAAAUAUUGGGGAGAGACCGAUAGCGAACAAGUACCGUGAGGGAAAGAUGAAAAGAACUUUGGAAAGAGAGUUAAACAGUACGUGAAAUUGCUGAAAGGGAAACGCUUGAAGUCAGUCGCGUUGUUCAGGAUUCAGCUUCAGCUUCUGCUGGGUGUACUUCCUGUUCGACGGGUCAGCAUCAGUUUUGGCCGGUGGAUAAAGGCUUAGGGAAUGUGGCAUCCUUGGAUGUGUUAUAGCCCUGGGUUGCAUACAUCGGCUGGGACUGAGGAACUCAGCACGCCCGCAAGGGCCAGGUUCGACC
RNAcentral lists this ribosomal RNA (546 nucleotides) under Mycena aff. pura TL9433. RNAcentral describes it as "eukaryotic LSU rRNA". It matches the Rfam family "Eukaryotic large subunit ribosomal RNA", at positions 77 to 607 of the family's 3401-position model. Lineage: Eukaryota; Fungi; Basidiomycota; Agaricomycetes; Agaricales; Mycenaceae. The record is from RNAcentral. RNAcentral also lists the same sequence under 1 other name.